RNAcentral lists this long non-coding RNA (1975 nucleotides) under Vigna radiata. RNAcentral describes it as "long non-coding RNA (VRAD_LNC003384)". Lineage: Eukaryota; Viridiplantae; Streptophyta; Magnoliopsida; Fabales; Fabaceae. The record is from RNAcentral.
AUUAUUUUGAAAAAGAAGUGCUCUAGUUUGAUCUAAUAAGUGUCCAUUUUUCCUUUCUGCAAUCCCAUUUUUUUGGGGGUGUGUUUACACAUGAGGAUUCAUGGAUUAUUUCUUCCUUUUAACAAAAAGAAUUUAGAGUAUGAUUGAAGUAAUCUUUGGCAUUAUCAGACCUAAUUAUUUUUAUAUUAACCCCAAAUUGAUUUUUAAUCAUUGAAACAAACUGUAGAAAAACAGAUUGGACCUCAGAUUUGUGUUUAAGAAGGAAAAUCCAUGUUACCCUUGUACAAUCAUCUAUAAAGGUUAUAAACCAUUUAGCCCCUGAAGUACUAGGAAUAUUCGAGGGACCCCACACAUAUGUAUGAACAAGAUAAAAUGGAGAAUUGCUUACUUUGUUGCUGAUAGGAAAAGGUACAUGCUUGUGUUUGGCAAGCUCACACACCUCACAAUGAAGAUCUUCUAGAUUUAGAUUUUUAAACAAGGAAAUAUUAACUUUAUGACCCGAAAUGAAGGAUGUCCCAAAAAACAAUGAAACAAUUGGAUUUUUUCUUUGUUGGCCAUGGAGGAUUCAGAUAUUAGAGAGUGACUCUCAAUGGGCAGACUCAAAUCUUCCAUAUAGUAAAGGCCAUUCCAUUCUCUAGCAUGUCCAAUCAUCCUCCCUGACUUCUUGUCCUGCAAUAUACAAGAGUUGCUAUGAAAAACCAAAUUACAUAAUAGGUCCUUGGUAAGUUUUUGUAUAGGGACAUGAAGAACAUUUUUUAGUAUCAUGUUUGGGGUUAUUUGGACAUCUCCUUGUCCAGCUGCAGUGAUGAGGGUUCCAUCAGCAGUAGAAAAUUUCUUGUUGUUGGACAUAAGGAAUAUGUGGAGAACUGUUUAGGGAAUGGUGUCAUAUGGUCUGUGGCUCCAGAGUCUAGUAUCAAAUAGUGGGUAAAUGGGGUAUUUGAGACAUUAAAUCCACAAGAAAAUGGGAACUUACCAGAGUAUGUCAAUGAACAUGUACAUAUGGGUUUUUCCAAUUUACUAAGAAAGGACCUUACUCUUUCUAACUCCUCAUGGUUGAGUUGUACAGAUCCUUCUUGACUUUCAGGACCAGCAACAACAUGAGCUUGCCCCCCUCUCCUUGGAAGGCCUCCUUUGUGUCCCUAAUCUUUGCUUUGAGGUUUUCCAUGUAACUUCCAGCAUUUGUCCCUUGUGGGACGUGGCUUGUUGCAAUAGGUGCACCAAACUCCUUCAUUUUUCUUCUCUGUUCUUGGAAAAGGGCAUACCUUUUUUUGUUCUGCAACCAUGGUUGUUGCUCCUUCAACAAUCAUAGCUGAAUUAUCCGCAAUUGGGGUCUCAAGCAUUAGACACCUUCUGCUUCUUCACUCCGAAUAAUUGCCAUUACUUCAUUGAGUCCAGGAACCUUCUCCUUGCCUAGUAUUUGGAUUCUUGGUUUAGGCCUACCAAGAAAUCAUACACUCGAUCUUGUUCAAUGUAUUCUCUUAGAAUUGUUGAAUCCUCAGAACACUUGGCCUUUAUGACCCUGUAAUGAUCUAAUUCCAUCCAUAAAGAUUUAAGUUGAUUAGCAUACUCUGUGACAGAUUUAGUGCCCUGUUUGGCUGCCAUUGUUUUCACUUUCACCUCAUAAAUCUGGGCAGCGUCCUUUGCCUUAGAGUAGGUUUGCUCUAUGGCAAUCCAUAUGGCCUUUGCAGAAGUGAGGAACAUGCAUGUAUUGCUAAUUUCUGGAACCAUUGAGUUCCAUAGCCAUGCCAUGAUCACGGAGUCUUCUUCGUCCCAUGACUUGAAUCUGGCAUCUUCUUCUGCAGGAGCAUCAUCAGUGAGAUGGGUGACCUUUCCUUUCCCUUUUAGAGUGGUCUUAACGAGUUGAGACCAUUUAAGAUAAUUUUUUCCAUUCAAUCGAUAAGCUCAAUGAAAAUUCUACAAUUCUCCAUUAUUCUGGAACUUGUCUACAUUUUCCAUUUCAGCCAUUACAAAAAUG